CUUCACCAUGGGACGAGAGGCGCUCUGGGCGGGGGUCUGUGCCUCUUCGGAGAGUUCCCCAGCCCGGGAGCACUGCCUCCUCCCAGGAGGCUCUUUCCACGGCCAGCCGUUCUCAUCCGUCUUGGCCAGGGCUGAAGGAGCAGGACCCCUGGCUCCGGAUCCCUUCUGGGCACCACCCCUUUACCUCCUCGGGUUGUCCUCUGCGGUCCACGGCCACAGGAGACAGCCCAGCCCCUCCAGGCAGCCUUGGGGACUGCAGCCCCAGGCAGGGUGACCAAUCCUACCUGCGACCAGAGCUGAGGGGCGAGCCGGCACUCGUUCAGCCUAGACUCUUCUCGGGGCACCUGGGUGGCUGAGUGGGAAGAGCGUCCCACUCUUGAUCUUGAGGUCCUGGGUUUGAGCCCUAUGAUGGGUGUACAGAUUACUUAAAUGAGUAAAU
Panthera uncia (snow leopard) is the source of this 439-nucleotide long non-coding RNA. RefSeq lists it as uncharacterized. The transcript is spliced from 3 exons. NCBI's taxonomy places the organism in Eukaryota, Metazoa, Chordata, Mammalia, Carnivora, Felidae. The record is from RefSeq and is a predicted model, not a curated record.